This 459-nucleotide ribosomal RNA is filed under the name uncultured Desulfobulbus sp. RNAcentral's name for it is "bacterial SSU rRNA". It matches the Rfam family "Bacterial small subunit ribosomal RNA", at positions 927 to 1382 of the family's 1533-position model. Lineage: Bacteria; Pseudomonadati; Thermodesulfobacteriota; Desulfobulbia; Desulfobulbales; Desulfobulbaceae. The record is from RNAcentral.
AAGACGGUGGAGUAUGUGGUUUAAUUCGAUGCAACGCGAAGAACUACCUGGUCUGACAUCCGGAGACCCUUAGGAAACUAGGGGGUGGCUUCCAUCUGGAAGAAUCUGGAGACAGGUGCUGCAUGGCUGUCGUCAGCUCGUGUCGUGAGAUGUUGGGUUAAGUCCCGCAACGAGCGCAACCCUUGCCUUUAGUUGCCAGCAGUUCGGCUGGGCACUCUAAAGGGACUGCCGGUGUUAAACCGGAGGAAGGUGGGGAUGACGUCAAGUCCUCAUGGCCUUUAUGACCAGGGCUACACACGUACUACAAUGGCCGAUACAAAGGGCAGCGACACUGCGAGGUGAAGCCAAUCCCGUAAAAUCGGUCUCAGUCCGGAUUGGAGUCUGCAACUCGACUCCAUGAAGUUGGAAUCGCUAGUAAUCGUGGAUCAGCAUGCCACGGUGAAUACGUUCCCGGGCCUU